This 497-nucleotide ribosomal RNA is filed under the name uncultured bacterium. RNAcentral describes it as "partial 16S ribosomal RNA". It matches the Rfam family "Bacterial small subunit ribosomal RNA", at positions 28 to 507 of the family's 1533-position model. The record is from RNAcentral.
GAUGAACGCUGGCGGCGUGCCUAAUACAUGCAAGUCGAGCGAACAGACGAGUAGCUUGCUCCUCUGACGUUAGCGGCGGACGGGUGAGUAACACGUGGAUAACCUACCUAUAAGACUGGGAUAACUUCGGGAAACCGGAGCUAAUACCGGAUAAUAUAUUGAACCGCAUGGUUCAAUAGUGAAAGACGGUUUUGCUGUCACUUAUAGAUGGAUCCGCGCCGCAUUAGCUAGUUGGUAAGGUAACGGCUUACCAAGGCGACGAUGCGUAGCCGACCUGAGAGGGUGAUCGGACACACUGGAAGUGAGACACGGUCCAGACUCCUACGGGAGGCAGCAGUAGGGAAUCUUCCGCAAUGGGCGAAAGCCUGACGGAGCAACGCCGCGUGAGUGAUGAAGGUCUUCGGAUCGUAAAACUCUGUUAUUAGGGAAGAACAAAUGUGUAAGUAACUAUGCACGUCUUGACGGUACCUAAUCAGAAAGCCACGGCUAACUACGUG